RNAcentral lists this ribosomal RNA (491 nucleotides) under uncultured Atheliaceae. Its description in RNAcentral is "eukaryotic LSU rRNA". It matches the Rfam family "Eukaryotic large subunit ribosomal RNA", at positions 1 to 499 of the family's 3401-position model. Lineage: Eukaryota; Fungi; Basidiomycota; Agaricomycetes; Atheliales; Atheliaceae. The record is from RNAcentral.
UUGACCUCAAAUCAGGUAGGACUACCCGCUGAACUUAAGCAUAUCAAUAAGCGGAGGAAAAGAAACUAACAAGGAUUCCCCCAGUAACUGCGAGUGAAGCGGGAAAAGCUCAAAUUUAAAAUCUGGCGGUUUCACCGUCCGAGUUGUAGUUUAGAGAAGUGUUUUCCGCGUCGGACCGUGUAAAGGUCUCUUGGAAUAGAGCGUCAUAGAGGGUGAGAAUCCCGUCUUUGACACGGACACCCGGUGCUUUUGCGAUACACUCUCAAAGAGUCGAGUUGUUUGGGAAUGCAGCUCAAAAUGGGUGGUAAAUUCCAUCUAAAGCUAAAUAUUGGCGAGAGACCGAUAGCGAACAAGUACCGUGAGGGAAAGAUGAAAAGCACUUUGGAAAGAGAGUUAAACAGUACGUGAAAUUGUUGAAAGGGAAACGUUUGAAGUCAGUCGCGUCCGCUGAGGAUCAGCCUUGAUGGUGCACUGCUCAGUGGACGGGCCAG